This 378-nucleotide ribosomal RNA is filed under the name uncultured eukaryote. Its description in RNAcentral is "partial 18S ribosomal RNA". It matches the Rfam family "Eukaryotic small subunit ribosomal RNA", at positions 592 to 975 of the family's 1831-position model. The record is from RNAcentral.
CAAUAGCGUAUACUAAAGUUGUUGCAGUUAAAAAGCUCGUAGUUGGAUUUCGGGUAGGAUUUGCCGGUCCGUCGUUACGAUGUGCACUGGCCAGUCCUAUCUUGUUGUCGGGGACUAGCUCCUUGGAUUCACUUCCUGGGACUAGGAGCUGACGAGGUUACUUUGAGUAAAUUAGAGUGUUCAAAGCAAGCCUACGCUCUGAAUACAUUAGCAUGGAAUAACACGAUAGGACUCUGGCUUAUCUUGUUGGUCUGUGAGACCAGAGUAAUGAUUAAGAGGGACAGUCGGGGACAUUCGUAUUUCAUUGUCAGAGGUGAAAUUCUUGGAUUUAUGAAAGACGAACUUCUGCGAAAGCAUUUGUCAAGGAUGUUUUCAUUA